Molecule: ribosomal RNA, 162 nt
Filed under: uncultured bacterium
Lineage: Bacteria
Description: partial 16S ribosomal RNA
Rfam family: Bacterial small subunit ribosomal RNA
Source: RNAcentral
CAUGCCGCGUGUAUGAAGAAGGCCUUCGGGUUGUAAAGUACUUUCAGCGGGGAGGAAGGGAGUAAAGUUAAUACCUUUGCUCAUUGACGUUACCCGCAGAAGAAGCACCGGCUAACUCCGUGCCAGCAACUGCGGUGACUGAGCGGGCUGGCAAGGCGCAUA